Molecule: long non-coding RNA, 364 nt
Organism: Apis mellifera (honey bee)
Lineage: Eukaryota; Metazoa; Arthropoda; Insecta; Hymenoptera; Apidae
Exons: 3
Source: RefSeq, a predicted model, not a curated record
CACGAUUUACCCGAUCGUAAAACGAACAAUUCGAUCAUCUUCGUAGUGCUUUUAAACUUUCGUUCGAACUCGUGCAAUGGAUGGAUCAACGAAUCACGAAACAUCAACAUGGGUCCAGGUUAUUUUUGUGGAACAUUUGGAAUUCCCGCUCGAGAUAAUUUACGAGACGCGUGGGUAAAUAAGUAAUGGCAGAUGGCAGCAGCUGUUUAAAGACCCCGAAAUGGGGCAAAUUUCAGAUCCCGAAAUCGCUUACCUGGACAUCCUUGGUGAACUGAUUGUUGCAGAAUAUGUGCACGGCCGAGAACUCCCUCACGUGGUCGAACUCGAACUUGAUCUCGAGCGGAUGGCCGGACCUGGUGUCGUU